UAACUCUCAGGAUCGGACCUGGAGAGUUGCCAGUAUUCUACCAGUCUCGACUGUGGGAGGGAGAGUGAAGCAGAGACCUACCCAUUCCAUUCCCAGCUUGGUCAGUGGCUAGCGAGCAGAAGGCAAUCUGCUACAAGA
RNAcentral lists this small nucleolar RNA (138 nucleotides) under Ornithorhynchus anatinus (platypus). Lineage: Eukaryota; Metazoa; Chordata; Mammalia; Monotremata; Ornithorhynchidae. The record is from RNAcentral.